UGUGCAUGAGAAACUCAGAAUCCAGUG
RNAcentral lists this non-coding RNA (27 nucleotides) under Homo sapiens (human). The record is from RNAcentral. Lineage: Eukaryota; Metazoa; Chordata; Mammalia; Primates; Hominidae.